Non-coding RNA from Nicotiana attenuata, 72 nucleotides. The record is from Rfam. Lineage: Eukaryota; Viridiplantae; Streptophyta; Magnoliopsida; Solanales; Solanaceae.
GGGCGUUUGGUGUAGUGGUAUGGUUCUCGCUUUGGGUGCGAGAGGUCCCGAGUUCGAUUCUAGGAACGCCCC